Glossina palpalis gambiensis is the source of this 93-nucleotide non-coding RNA. The record is from Rfam. NCBI's taxonomy places the organism in Eukaryota, Metazoa, Arthropoda, Insecta, Diptera, Glossinidae.
GGGGGUAGUUUUUAGUACGUAUACGCCAUGGAUGGCGAAUCGUGCAUGCUGCUGUUAAGAGCCAACAGUAUCUUUUGAAGAUUUUCUACCUCC